GAUUCCCCCAGUAGCGGCGAGCGAACGGGGAGGAGCCCAGAGCCUGAAUCAGCAUGUGUGUUAGUGGAAGCGUCUGGAAAGGCGCGCGAUACAGGGUGACAGCCCCGUACACAAAAGCGCAUGUGCUGUGAGCUCGAUGAGUAGGGCGGGACACGUGGUAUCCUGUCUGAAUAUGGGGGGACCAUCCUCCAAGGCUAAAUACUCCUGACUGACCGAUAGUGAACCAGUACCGUGAGGGAAAGGCGAAAAGAACCCCGGCGAGGGGAGUGAAAAAGAACCUGAAACCGUGUACGUACAAGCAGUGGGAGCACCCUUUGGGGUGUGACUGCGUACCUUUUGUAUAAUGGGUCAGCGACUUAUAUUCUGUAGCAAGGUUAACCGAAUAGGGGAGCCGGAGGGAAACCGAGUCUUAAUUGGGCGUUAAGUUGCAGGGUAUAGACCCGAAACCCGGUGAUCUAGCCAUGGGCAGGUUGAAGGUUGGGUAACACUAACUGGAGGACCGAACCGACUAAUGUUGAAAAAUUAGCGGAUGACCUGUGGCUGGGGGUGAAAGGCCAAUCAAACCGGGAGAUAGCUGGUUCUCCCCGAAAGCUAUUUAGGUAGCGCCUCGUGAAUUCAUCUCCGGGGGUAGAGCACUGUUUCGGCUAGGGGGCCAUCCCGGCUUACCAACCCGAUGCAAACUGCGAAUACCGGAGAAUGUUAUCACGGGAGACACACGGCGGGUGCUAACGUCCGUCGUGAAGAGGGAAACAACCCAGACCGCCAGCUAAGGUCCCAAAGUCAUGGUUAAGUGGGAAACGAUGUGGGAAGGCCCAGACAGCCAGGAUGUUGGCUUAGAAGCAGCCAUCAUUUAAAGAAAGCGUAAUAGCUCACUGGUCGAGUCGGCCUGCGCGGAAGAUGUAACGGGGCUAAACCAUGCACCGAAGCUGCGGCAGCGACGCUGAUGCGUUGUUGGGUAGGGGAGCGUUCUGUAAGCCUGCGAAGGUGGCCUGUGAGGGUUGCUGGAGGUAUCAGAAGUGCGAAUGCUGACAUAAGUAACGAUAAAGCGGGUGAAAAGCCCGCUCGCCGGAAGACCAAGGGUUCCUGUCCAACGUUAAUCGGGGCAGGGUGAGUCGACCCCUAAGGCGAGGCCGAAAGGCGUAGUCGAUGGGAAACGGGUUAAUAUUCCCGUACUUGGUGUUACUGCGAAGGGGGGACGGAGAAGGCUAUGUUGGCCGGGCGACGGUUGUCCCGGUUUAAGCGUGUAGGUGUGUGUUCCAGGUAAAUCCGGUUCACUUUAACACUGAGGCGUGAUGACGAGGCACUACGGUGCUGAAGCAACAAAUGCCCUGCUUCCAGGAAAAGCCUCUAAGCAUCAGGUAACAUCAAAUCGUACCCCAAACCGACACAGGUGGUCAGGUAGAGAAUACCAAGGCGCUUGAGAGAACUCGGGUGAAGGAACUAGGCAAAAUGGUGCCGUAACUUCGGGAGAAGGCACGCUGACAUGUAGGUGAAGUGAUUUACUCAUGGAGCUGAAGUCAGUCGAAGAUACCAGCUGGCUGCAACUGUUUAUUAAAAACACAGCACUGUGCAAACACGAAAGUGGACGUAUACGGUGUGACGCCUGCCCGGUGCCGGAAGGUUAAUUGAUGGGGUCAGCGCAAGCGAAGCUCCUGAUCGAAGCCCCGGUAAACGGCGGCCGUAACUAUAACGGUCCUAAGGUAGCGAAAUUCCUUGUCGGGUAAGUUCCGACCUGCACGAAUGGCGUAAUGAUGGCCAGGCUGUCUCCACCCGAGACUCAGUGAAAUUGAACUCGCUGUGAAGAUGCAGUGUACCCGCGGCAAGACGGAAAGACCCCGUGAACCUUUACUAUAGCUUGACACUGAACAUUGAGCCUUGAUGUGUAGGAUAGGUGGGAGGCUUUGAAGUGUGGACGCCAGUCUGCAUGGAGCCGGCCUUGAAAUACCACCCUUUAAUGUUUGAUGUUCUAACGUGGACCCGUGAUCCGGGUUGCGGACAGUGUCUGGUGGGUAGUUUGACUGGGGCGGUCUCCUCCUAAAGAGUAACGGAGGAGCACGAAGGUUGGCUAAUCCUGGUCGGACAUCAGGAGGUUAGUGCAAUGGCAUAAGCCAGCUUGACUGCGAGCGUGACGGCGCGAGCAGGUGCGAAAGCAGGUCAUAGUGAUCCGGUGGUUCUGAAUGGAAGGGCCAUCGCUCAACGGAUAAAAGGUACUCCGGGGAUAACAGGCUGAUACCGCCCAAGAGUUCAUAUCGACGGCGGUGUUUGGCACCUCGAUGUCGGCUCAUCACAUCCUGGGGCUGAAGUAGGUCCCAAGGGUAUGGCUGUUCGCCAUUUAAAGUGGUACGCGAGCUGGGUUUAGAACGUCGUGAGACAGUUCGGUCCCUAUCUGCCGUGGGCGCUGGAGAACUGAGGGGGGCUGCUCCUAGUACGAGAGGACCGGAGUGGACGCAUCACUGGUGUUCGGGUUGUCAUGCCAAUGGCACUGCCCGGUAGCUAAAUGCGGAAGAGAUAAGUGCUGAAAGCAUCUAAGCACGAAACUUGCCCCGAGAUGAGUUCUCCCUGAGACUUA
This 2569-nucleotide ribosomal RNA is filed under the name Salmonella enterica subsp. enterica serovar Bredeney. Its description in RNAcentral is "partial 23S ribosomal RNA". It matches the Rfam family "Bacterial large subunit ribosomal RNA", at positions 233 to 2824 of the family's 2925-position model. Lineage: Bacteria; Pseudomonadati; Pseudomonadota; Gammaproteobacteria; Enterobacterales; Enterobacteriaceae. The record is from RNAcentral.